Long non-coding RNA from Acanthaster planci (crown-of-thorns starfish), 314 nucleotides. Lineage: Eukaryota; Metazoa; Echinodermata; Asteroidea; Valvatida; Acanthasteridae. The record is from RefSeq and is a predicted model, not a curated record.
GGUAUGAAUACCCUACGAGUUAGAAAAUAUUUCUUCCCUAUAAUCUGUAUACUUAUUUCUCUACCAGUUUAAAUACAAACAUGCCAAAUAAACCCUGGAACUGCUUAAUUUUGGUUCACAACAUGCAAUACAUUGCGAUCAUCCUCGCCCUCCUUCACAACAAACUACCCGAGCUUAAGAUGUUACAGGUAGUAGUGACACCUCACUGGCAGGUGAUUGUUCCCUCUACAUGUUGCUAUGUUGUUUUUCUUUUUUUCCCGUGUCCAUUUCUUUAUAAACACUUGGUCCAUGAACAAACUGAUUCAAGUGCCUAU